GUGUCAGCAGCCGCGGUAAUACGUAGGAGGCAAGCGUUAUCCGGAUUUACUGGGCGUAAAGCGCGUGCAGGUGGUUUGGUAAGUUGGAUGUGAAAUCUCCUGGCUCAACCGGGAGGGGUCGUUCAAAACUGCCAGACUCGAGGACGGUAGAGGAGAGUGGAAUUCCCGGUGUAGUGGUGAAAUGCGUAGAUAUCGGGAGGAACACCAGUGGCGAAAGCGGCUCUCUGGGCCGUUCCUGACACUCAGACGCGAAAGCGUGGGUAGCGAACGGGAUUAGAUACCCCCGUAGUCC
RNAcentral lists this ribosomal RNA (292 nucleotides) under uncultured bacterium. RNAcentral describes it as "partial 16S ribosomal RNA". It matches the Rfam family "Bacterial small subunit ribosomal RNA", at positions 505 to 796 of the family's 1533-position model. The record is from RNAcentral.